GCCAGGUGCAUUGGCGUGAGCCUGUAGUCCCAGCUACUCGGGAGGCUGAGGUGGGAGGAUCGCUUGAGUCCAGGAGUUCUGGGCUGUAGUGCACUAUGCCGAUCAGGUGUCCACACUAAGUUAGGCAUCAAUAUGGUGACCUCCCAGGAGCGGGGGACCACCAGGUUGUCUAAAGAGGGGCGAAUUGGCCCAGGUCAGAAACACAGCAGGUCAAAACUCCUGUGCUGAUCAGCAGUGGGAUCGUGCCUGUGAACAGCCACCGCACUCCAGCCUGGGCAACAUAGCGAGACCCCAUCUCUA
Unclassified non-coding RNA from Callithrix jacchus (white-tufted-ear marmoset), 300 nucleotides. It matches the Rfam family "Metazoan signal recognition particle RNA". From Rfam's summary of the family: The signal recognition particle (SRP) is a universally conserved ribonucleoprotein. The record is from Ensembl. NCBI's taxonomy places the organism in Eukaryota, Metazoa, Chordata, Mammalia, Primates, Cebidae.